Molecule: ribosomal RNA, 442 nt
Filed under: uncultured bacterium
Lineage: Bacteria
Description: partial 16S ribosomal RNA
Rfam family: Bacterial small subunit ribosomal RNA
Source: RNAcentral
CCUACGGGUGGCAGCAGUAGGGAAUCUUUCACAAUGGGCGAAAGCCUGAUGGAGCAACGCCGCGUGCAGGAUGAAGGCCUUCGGGUUGUAAACUGCUUUUAUAAGCGAGAAAUAUGAUGGUAACUUAUGAAUAAGUAUCGGCGAACUACGUGCCAGCAGCCGCGGUCAUACGUAGGAUCCGAGCAUUAUCCGGAGUGACUGGGUGUAAAGAGUUGCGUAGGUGGCAUAAUAAGUAGCUAGUGAAAUCUGGUGGCUCAACCAUUCAGACUAUUAGCUAAACUGUUAAGCUCGAGACCGUUAGGGGUAACUGGAAUUUCUAGUGUAGGAGUGAAAUCCGUAGAUAUUAGAAGGAACACCAAUAGCGUAGGCAGGUUGCUGGGACGGUUCUGACACUAAGGCACGAAAGCGUAGGGAGCAAACGGGAUUAGAUACCCCAGUAGUC